UCUCUCUCUAACUUAAGUAUCGGAGGGGCGAUGAUGACAUAUCUCGACACCUUUGUUUCAAGUACUGGAAGAUCUUGUUUGUGCUCAUUUUCAAUCAUCAAGCUCAAAAAUCAAUAUGUAUGAUUUUUUAUAGCAUCACCCUCCAUCUCUUCAUCUCUUCCCAUAUCAAUACACCCUAUCUCACAUACAAUUUGAAUCGAACCCUUCAAAUAAUCAGGAAACUAACCUAAAUGAACUAAACCCAAUACCAUUUCCAACCUCUCUAGCGCACUCAACAGAUCCUUGACCUCAAAAUCCCUCCCUCCACCAAAUGAACUGGGGGCUAAUCUUUUUCUAAUCUUGCAUAAUAGCAACAUUGUCGAAUUGGGAGUUUCCAAUAGUGACUAAGAAUGGAAAAAGGCGAACAAUAUUAUUUUGGACACUAUAUAAAAAGAACCUAUGUCGAUUUCCUUCAAUUCAGGCGGCAAAAAGUGGUUCUUUGAGAGCAUAUAAAGCAGCAAAAAUGGAGUAGAAAAAUGUUCUCUGAGAGGGUGAAUUUUGGAGUGUAAAGAAAAGAGAAGAUGAGAAUUUUGGUGGCAAGAGAUGGGACUGAGGAGCUAGUUUUUGCUUUGACACUGAAGAAUGGAUGGUUUAGUUUGGCUGGCUGCAUCACUGGUGAUCGGAUUAGCUGAUGGUAUUUCUGGCAAUUAAUGUUUGGGUGGCAACAGCGAUGCCAGUGCUGUGUGGGUGGUGCUGGUGGUGGUUGGCCUGUGG
RNAcentral lists this long non-coding RNA (753 nucleotides) under Olea europaea subsp. europaea. Lineage: Eukaryota; Viridiplantae; Streptophyta; Magnoliopsida; Lamiales; Oleaceae. The record is from RNAcentral.